GACGAACGCUGGCGGCGUGCUUAACACAUGCAAGUCGAACGCUGAAGCUCAGCUUGCUGGGUGGAUGAGUGGCGAACGGGUGAGUAACACGUGAGUAACCUGCCCUCUUCUUUGGGAUAACGCCCGGAAACGGGUGCUAAUACUGGAUAUUCACUGAUUCUCGCAUGGGGGUUGGUGGAAAGGUUUUUUCUGGUGGGGGAUGGGCUCGCGGCCUAUCAGCUUGUUGGUGGGGUGAUGGCCUACCAAGGCUUUGACGGGUAGCCGGCCUGAGAGGGUGACCGGUCACAUUGGGACUGAGAUACGGCCCAGACUCCUACGGGAGGCAGCAGUGGGGAAUAUUGCACAAUGGGCGAAAGCCUGAUGCAGCGACGCCGCGUGAGGGAUGGAGGCCUUCGGGUUGUAAACCUCUUUCGCUCAUGGUCAAGCCGCAGCUGUGGGUUGUGGUGAGGGUAGUGGGGAAAGAAGCGCCGGCUAACUACGU
This 481-nucleotide ribosomal RNA is filed under the name uncultured bacterium. Its description in RNAcentral is "partial 16S ribosomal RNA". It matches the Rfam family "Bacterial small subunit ribosomal RNA", at positions 28 to 506 of the family's 1533-position model. The record is from RNAcentral.